RNAcentral lists this ribosomal RNA (256 nucleotides) under Pristurus rupestris rupestris. RNAcentral's name for it is "partial 12S ribosomal RNA". Lineage: Eukaryota; Metazoa; Chordata; Lepidosauria; Squamata; Sphaerodactylidae. The record is from RNAcentral.
CCCCACGCUAUACCUUACCCCCCCUAGCCACCCAGCCUAUAUACCGCCGUCGCCAGCUCACACUGUGAAUGCACCACCGUAAGCUAAAUCAUCAACCAUUGAAACGACAGGUCAAGGUGUAGUUCAUGGGGGGGCCAGUGAUGGGCUACAUUUUCUUCACUAGAAAAUACCACCCGCACCGUGAAAUCUCUGCCCACAGGUGGAUUUAGAAGUAAGCCCUGACAAGAUAUGUCAACCUGAACAAGCCCUGGGACGA